CCAGACUCCUACGGGAGGCAGCAGUGGGGAAUAUUGCACAAUGGGGGAAACCCUGAUGCAGCAACGCCGCGUGAGUGAAGAAGUAUUUCGGUAUGUAAAGCUCUAUCAGCAGGGAAGAAGAAGGACGGUACCUGACUAAGAAGCCCCGGCUAACUACGUGCCAGCAGCCGCGGUAAUACGUAUGGUGCAAGCGUUAUCCGGAUUUACUGGGCGUAAAGGGAGCGCAGGCGGCGCGCCAAGUCUGAUGUGAAACCCCGGGACUCAACCCCGGGCAUGCAUUGGAAACUGGCGGGCUGGAGUGCCGGAGAGGUAAGCGGAAUUCCUAGUGCAGCGGUGAAAUGCGUAGAUAUUAGGAGGAACACCAGUGGCGAAGGCGGCUUACUGGACGGCAACUGACGCUGAGGCUCGAAAGCGUGGGGAGCAAACAGGAUUAGAUACCCUAGUA
Molecule: ribosomal RNA, 445 nt
Filed under: uncultured bacterium
Lineage: Bacteria
Description: bacterial SSU rRNA
Rfam family: Bacterial small subunit ribosomal RNA
Source: RNAcentral